Rhagoletis zephyria (snowberry fruit fly) is the source of this 981-nucleotide long non-coding RNA. RefSeq lists it as uncharacterized. NCBI's taxonomy places the organism in Eukaryota, Metazoa, Arthropoda, Insecta, Diptera, Tephritidae. The record is from RefSeq and is a predicted model, not a curated record.
GAAAUAAAAAACAAUAAUUGGCAUUUAAAAGUAAAUAAUUCACAAAGUUCGGAGAUUAUUUUUAAUUCUAAAAAUAGACAUUAAAACAUUAGAAAUAAUUGUUUUAUAAGCAGUGAAUUUCCAAAAUAGUAUUGUUAUAUUAAAAAUGUCAUUCCAGCUUCAAAGCCCUUAAGUGCAGAUGUAGUUGAGGAACGGGAAAAAAAAACGCUGUCGUGCAGUGAAUGUCAUCGUCAGCACGCCAAAGACGCAUCAGUCUAGCCGAGCUCCAGCAGCACCGGCAGAGAGCUCGCUGAAGUACAUAGUUUCAUGUUGUUGUUGGUGCUUUACAAACUGAUGAAAAUUGCAAUUUGUAAAAGCGAGAUGUGAGCGCUAAAGUUUGCAUAAUAGUGAGAAAGUAUGUAGGAAUAAAAGAUUGUAGUUGGUAAAAGAAAAAUAAUAGUACCUUCAAAUAAAAAGAAAACAGAAAAAGUGAUCUUCGAAUAUGAAAUUGCGUUCUAAUGAAAUGUAAUGUGUGAAAGAAGAAAAGUAAUUGUGGGAAAAAUAAAGUACGUUUUCGUGCAGUUGCAAUCGGUCUUUGUGGCAAAUAAAUAUUUAAGUUUUCUGUGAAGUUAUUUACGAAAAGCUGAAUACUAAAAUUGGUACUUACAAGGAAAGAAUAAAUAUGUAAUUAAAAAAAGACAAAAUUAAUAUGAAUAAAGUUUUGCUUUUGCAAGUGAAAAUGAAUUAGAAUAACUUUCUAAGACAUAAAAAAUAAAUAAAGGAUAGUGCAAUAAAAAUUUUCCUAGUUCAAAAGCUUCAGCAUAGAAGCAAAUUCUUGGUGCAAUAAAAUUUAAUGUUUUCCAACAUCACAGCUCAGCAUUGGAUUUCUAUGCCUGGUUGAAAUAUAAUCCUAUGCAUCAGCGAUGGAGUAACCUACCGCACGUCACUGGAUACUUUGAAACAAUUUGUGAGUAAGUAUUAUUUAAACAAUUAUGGUAAUUA